Molecule: unclassified non-coding RNA, 108 nt
Organism: Otolemur garnettii (small-eared galago)
Lineage: Eukaryota; Metazoa; Chordata; Mammalia; Primates; Galagidae
Rfam family: Y RNA
About the family: Y RNAs are components of the Ro ribonucleoprotein particle (Ro RNP), in association with Ro60 and La proteins. The Y RNAs and Ro60 and La proteins are well conserved, but the function of the Ro RNP is not known. In humans the RNA component can be one of four small RNAs -- hY1, hY3, hY4 and hY5.
Source: Ensembl
GGCUGGUCUGAAGGCAGUGAGUUAUCUCAAUUGAUCACAGUCACUAACAGACUAAACUCUUUGUUCUACUUUUUACCCCCUUCUCACUAAUGCACUGAUGAGUCUUAA